CAGUCGCCACGGUAAUACAGAGGGUGCGAGCGUUAAUCGGAUUUACUGGGCGUAAAGCGUGCGUAGGCGGCUUCUUAAGUCGGAUGUGAAAUCACUGAGCUUAACUUAGGAAUUGCAUUCGAUACUGGGAAGCUAGAGUAUGGGAGAGGAUGGUAGAAUUCCAGGUGUAGCGGUGAAAUGCGUAGAGAUCUGGAGGAAUACCGAUGGCGAAGGCAGCCAUCUGGCCUAAUACUGACGCUGAGGUACGAAAGCAUGGGGAGCAAACAGGAUUAGAUACCCCGGUAGUCCCUGUCUCUUAUAC
This 301-nucleotide ribosomal RNA is filed under the name uncultured bacterium. RNAcentral's name for it is "partial 16S ribosomal RNA". It matches the Rfam family "Bacterial small subunit ribosomal RNA", at positions 509 to 807 of the family's 1533-position model. The record is from RNAcentral.